CCUACGGGUGGCAGCAGUAGGGAAUCUUCCACAAUGGGCGAAAGCCUGAUGGAGCAACGCCGCGUGGGUGAAGAAGGUCUUCGGAUCGUAAAACCCUGUUGUUAGAGAAGAAAGUGCGUGAGAGUAACUGUUCACGUUUCGACGGUAUCUAACCAGAAAGCAACGGCGAACUACGUGGCAGAAGCCGAGGGAAUACGUAGGGGGCAAGCGUUAUCCGGAUUUAUUGGGCGUAAAGGGAGCGCAGGCGGUCUUUUAAGUCUGAUGUGAAAGCCUUCGGCUUAACCGGGGUAGUGCAUUUGAAACUGGGAGGCUUGAGUGCAGAAGAGGAGGGUGGAACUCCAUGUGUAGCGGUGAAAUGCGUAGAUAUAUGGAAGAACACCAGUGGCGAAAGCGGCUCUCUGGUCUGUAACUGACGCUGAGGUUCGAAAGCGUGGGUAGCAAACAGGAUUAGAUACCCUGGUAGUC
RNAcentral lists this ribosomal RNA (465 nucleotides) under uncultured bacterium. Its description in RNAcentral is "partial 16S ribosomal RNA". It matches the Rfam family "Bacterial small subunit ribosomal RNA", at positions 338 to 795 of the family's 1533-position model. The record is from RNAcentral.